Pelobates cultripes (western spadefoot toad) is the source of this 222-nucleotide non-coding RNA. The record is from the annotation of a GenBank genome assembly. Lineage: Eukaryota; Metazoa; Chordata; Amphibia; Anura; Pelobatidae.
CACCACCUUUAGAAGGGAGAUACAAAAGCAUCGCUACCGCUAUGCAAGCACACGCAUAUAAAAAAAAAAAAAAAAGUCUGUCUUAGCUAGGCUACCAUAACCAAAAGCCCACCUGACCUGACGAUAGUUAUGUCUUGCGCAGACACCUGAAGGGAGCGGAGCAGCAAGACAAGGCACAAAGUAGACACGACAAGGAACACAAAGCCUGAGACCAAACCCUAC